Molecule: ribosomal RNA, 497 nt
Filed under: uncultured bacterium
Lineage: Bacteria
Description: partial 16S ribosomal RNA
Rfam family: Bacterial small subunit ribosomal RNA
Source: RNAcentral
GACGAACGCUGGCGGCGUGCCUAAUACAUGCAAGUUGAGCGCUGAAGGUUGGUACUUGUACCAACUGGAUGAGCAGCGAACGGGUGAGUAACGCGUGGGGAAUCUGCCUUUGAGCGGGGGACAACAUUUGGAAACGAAUGCUAAUACCGCAUAAAAACUUUAAACACAAGUUUUAAGUUUGAAAGAUGCAAUUGCAUCACUCAAAGAUGAUCCCGCGUUGUAUUAGCUAGUUGGUGAGGUAAAGGCUCACCAAGGCGAUGAUACAUAGCCGACCUGAGAGGGUGGUCGGCCACAUUGGGACUGAGACACGGCCCAAACUCCUACGGGAGGCAGCAGUAGGGAAUCUUCGGCAAUGGACGAAAGUCUGACCGAGCAACGCCGCGUGAGUGAAGAAGGUUUUCGGAUCGUAAAACUCUGUUGGUAGAGAAGAACGUUGGUGAGAGUGGAAAGCUCAUCAAGUGACGGUAACUACACAGAAAGGGACGGCUAACUACGUG